RNAcentral lists this ribosomal RNA (250 nucleotides) under uncultured bacterium. RNAcentral describes it as "partial 16S ribosomal RNA". It matches the Rfam family "Bacterial small subunit ribosomal RNA", at positions 959 to 1204 of the family's 1533-position model. The record is from RNAcentral.
ACGCGCCGAACCUUACCAAGUCUUGACAUAUUUCGGAGGGAAUUAGAGAUAAUUCCUUACGACUUCGGUCGACUGAAAUACAGGUGGUGCAUGGUUGUCGUCAGCUCGUGUCGUGAGAUGUUGGGUUAAGUCCCCAUAACGAGCGCAACCCCCUAUCGUUAGUUACCAUCAUUAAGUUGGGGACUCUAGCGAUACUGCCGGUGAUAAACCGGAGGAAGGUGGGGACGACGUCAAAUCAUCAUGCCCUUUA